GAUGAACGCUGACAGAAUGCUUAACACAUGCAAGUCAACUUGAACUUCGGUUUGGUUGGCGGACGGGUGAGUAACGCGUAAAGAACUUGCCUCACAGCUAGGUACACCAUUUGGAAACGAAUGCUAAUACCUGAUAUUAUGAUUAUAUGGCAUCGUAUCAUUAUCAAAGCUAUCUUCGCUGUGAGAGAGCUUUGCGUCCAAUUAUCUAGUUGGAGAGGUAACGGCUCACCAAGGCGAGGAUGGGUAGCCGGCCUGAGAGGGUGAUCGGCCACAAGGGGACUGGGACAGGGCCAGUAGGCCAACGGGAGGAAGCGGUGGGGAAUAUUGGAAAAUGGACCGAGAGUGUGAUAGAGAAAUUCUGUGUGCAAGAUGAAGUUUUUCGGAAUGAAAAGUGGUUUCAGUUGGGAAGAAGAAAAUGACGGUACCAACAGAAGAAGCGACGGCUAAAUACGUG
This 454-nucleotide ribosomal RNA is filed under the name uncultured bacterium. RNAcentral's name for it is "partial 16S ribosomal RNA". It matches the Rfam family "Bacterial small subunit ribosomal RNA", at positions 28 to 507 of the family's 1533-position model. The record is from RNAcentral.